RNAcentral lists this small RNA (576 nucleotides) under Pan troglodytes (chimpanzee). Its description in RNAcentral is "processed transcript". The record is from RNAcentral. Lineage: Eukaryota; Metazoa; Chordata; Mammalia; Primates; Hominidae.
AGAGCCUGUGUGCCUCUCUCGGUUUGGUGUGGCUGUGAUUUUUGACGCGUGGUUUAAAUGUGCCUUCUUGUUGUUUUCCUUCUGCCUGUGGCUCCCACCUUUCUGUUCUGUGACGGGCUGUCCCUGCUUGUCCUGCUUUAGGAGAACUGUUUUGAGCUCUACAAUCCCAGCCACAAAGGGCAGGUCAUCAAGGCCUGUAAGACGGAGGCCGACGGCCGCGUGGUAGAGGGGAACCAUGUGGUGUACCGGAUCUCAGCCCCCAGCCCGGAGGAGAAGGAGGAGUGGAUGAAAUCCAUCAAAGCCAGUAUCAGCAGAGAUCCCUUCUAUGACAUGUUGGCAACGAGGAAACGAAGGAUUGCCAAUAAAAAAUAGCUUUCCUGGCUAAAAGACCCAGGUAAAAGACCCAACCCCAGCAGAAAGACACCGCGGGCGGCCCCUCCGCGGAAGGCGUGGCAGGGAGGCAGUCGCCCUGCGGUGCAAGCUGCUUCUCCAGAGCAUACCGUGGCCCAGGUGGCAUCCCCAAGGCCUCGUGCCGUGGCUGGGGUCCUGGGAGGUGGUCGCCCUGCAGUGCAAGCU